UUUUUUCUUAUUACUCAAUGAAUUUUUUACAUUUAUAGUUGUACAAUGAUCAUCAUCAUAAUCCAAUUUUAUAGGAUUUCCAUCCCAAAACCCCAGCACAUCUCCCUACCCCCCAAACUGUCUUCUUUGGAAACCAUAAGUUUUUUAAAGCCUGUGAGUCAGUAUCUGUUCUUCAAAGAAGUUCAUCAUGUCCUUUUUUCAGAUUCCACAUGUCAGUGAAAGCAUUUGAUGUUGGUGUCUCAUUGUAUGGCUGACUUCACUUAGCAUGAUAAUUUCUAGGUCCAUCCAUGUUGCUAAAAUUUCUGGUAUUUUGUUCCUUUUAAUGGCUGAGUAAUAUUCCAUUGUGUAUAUGUACCACAUCUUCUUUAUCCACUCCUUUGUUGAUGGACAUUUAGGUUGUUUCCAUGUCUUGGCUACUGAAAAUAGUAAGCACAUAUUUCCUAUUUAUCUAUCCAUCUCUCUAUUUAAACAUGAAUCAGUUGGAAAUUCUCUCACUUUUCCUCUUUGCUGCUCAGUUUUUUCUGUUUGCAGCCAGUCCUGAAUACAACAGAAUCUUCAUUAAUGUCACAGUCUGUCAAUUCAACGUCUGUGACGUUUUGGCUAAAGACUGGUCUUCAGCUUAUUCAGUUGGCAAGAAGACAAUGUCAUGAAUAUGUUCAAGCCAUAUUGUCCUUUUUUUUUUGGUCUUUUUAUGGCCACGCCCACAGCAUAUGGAGUUUCCUAGUCUAGGGGUCGAAUUGGAGCUGUAGCCACCGGCCACAGCCACAGCCACAGCAACGCCAGAUCCGAGCCUCAUCUGUGACCUACACUACAGCUCACAGCAACGUCGGAUCCUUAACCCAUUGAGGGAGGCCAGGGAUUGAACCUGAGUCCUCAUGGAUGCUAGUCAGACUUGUUUCUGCUGAGCCAUGAUGGGACCUCCUUAGGCCAUGUCGUCUUUUGUGUCUCAUUCGUAGUGGAUGAUAAACACCUGAGUUGCCCAGUAUGAUAUGAGGAUUUCGAAGCUGAACAGUCCUGGCUGUUCCUUGCAUUUACUGGCUGAGUGAUCAGAGGCAUAUUAUGUGAUCUUUAUGCUCCUUAGAUGCCCUAUUUGCACAAAAGGGGAUGAGACUAUCUGUCUUCAAGGUGAAUGUGAAGAUUGAAAGUAGGAUAUGAAAACUACCUGGGCAUAUUGACUAAGCAUUGUGUGUGGAACCUCCACUGUCCAUGUGUCAUGUAUAAUAAGUAGGCAUUGAACCACAGGUAAUAUUGAGCAGAAAAGAGGAGUUCCCAUCGUGGCUCAGUGGUUAACAAAUCCAACUAGGAACCAUGAGGUUAUGGGUUAGAUCCCUGACUUUGCUCAGUGGGUUAAGGAUCUGGUGUUGCUGUGAGCUGUGGGUGCCGGUCACAGACACGGAUCCUGUGUUGCUGUGGUGUAGGCUGGUGGCUACAGCUCCGAUUAGACCCCUAGCCUGGGAACUUCCAUAUGCCAAGAGUGUGGCCCUAAAAAGCAAAACAACCAACCACAACAGCAAAAAACAGGUUUACAAAGUGCUUGUUCAAAGGUCUUUCACACAUCUCACUGUAUUUUAACAACUGUGUAAGAUAGGAGAGCACGGAUUAUUAAACCUCUUUUAUAGACUGAACAAGCUAAAAUUUAAAAACUGUGUUUAAAAACAAAAACAAAAACAGGGAGUUCCUGUUGCGGCUUAGCAGUAAUAAAUCCAACUAGUAUCCAUGAGGAUGCUGGUUCAAUCCCUGGCCUUGCUUGGUGGGUUUAGGAUCUGGCAUUACUGUGAGCUGUGGUGGUAGUCGCAGAUGUGGCUUGCAUCUGGUGUUGCUGUGGCUGUGGCAUAGACUGGCAGCUGUAGCUCCAAUUCGACCUCUAUUCCCGGGAACUUCCAUAUGCUGUGGGUAUAGCCCUAUAAAAACAAAAACAAAAAAAGGCAAAAAAAAAAAAAAAAAAAAAAAA
Molecule: long non-coding RNA, 1951 nt
Filed under: Sus scrofa (pig)
Lineage: Eukaryota; Metazoa; Chordata; Mammalia; Artiodactyla; Suidae
Description: lncRNA (ENSSSCG00035026873.1)
Source: RNAcentral